CGUAACAAGGUCUCCGUAGGUGAACCUGCGGAGGGAUCAUUACACAAAUAUGAAGGCGGGCUGGAACCUCUCGGGGUUACAGCCUUGCUGAAUUAUUCACCCUUGUCUUUUGCGUACUUCUUGUUUCCUUGGUGGGUUCGCCCACCACUAGGACAAACAUAAACCUUUUGUAAUUGCAAUCAGCGUCAGUAACAAAUUAAUAAUUACAACUUUCAACAACGGAUCUCUUGGUUCUGGCAUCGAUGAAGAACGCAGCGAAAUGCGAUAAGUAGUGUGAAUUGCAGAAUUCAGUGAAUCAUCGAAUCUUUGAACGCACAUUGCGCCCUUUGGUAUUCCAAAGGGCAUGCCUGUUCGAGCGUCAUUUGUACCCUCAAGCUUUGCUUGGUGUUGGGCGUCUUGUCUCUAGCUUUGCUGGAGACUCGCCUUAAAGUAAUUGGCAGCCGGCCUACUGGUUUCGGAGCGCAGCACAAGUCGCACUCUCUAUCAGCAAAGGUCUAGCAUCCAUUAAGCCUUUUUUUCAACCUUUGACCUCGGAUCAGGUAGGGAUACCCGCUGAACUUAAGCAUAUCA
This 570-nucleotide ribosomal RNA is filed under the name uncultured fungus. RNAcentral's name for it is "eukaryotic LSU rRNA". The stretch from base 208 to 361 matches the Rfam family "5.8S ribosomal RNA". Lineage: Eukaryota; Fungi. The record is from RNAcentral.